AUUGAACGCUGGCGGCAGGCCUAACACAUGCAAGUCGGGCGGAUGAAGGGGGCUUGCUCCUGGAUUCAGCGGCGGACGGGUGAGUAAUGCCUAGGAAUCUGCCUGGUAGUGGGGGAUAACGUCCGGAAACGGGCGCUAAUACCGCAUACGUCCUGAGGGAGAAAGUGGGGGAUCUUCGGACCUCACGCUAUCAGAUGAGCCUAGGUCGGAUUAGCUAGUUGGUGGGGUAAAGGCCUACCAAGGCGACGAUCCGUAACUGGUCUGAGAGGAUGAUCAGUCACACUGGAACUGAGACACGGUCCAGACUCCUACGGGAGGCAGCAGUGGGGAAUAUUGGACAAUGGGCGAAAGCCUGAUCCAGCCAUGCCGCGUGUGUGAAGAAGGUCUUCGGAUUGUAAAGCACUUUAAGUUGGGAGGAAGGGCAGUAAGUUAAUACCUUGCUGUUUUGACGUUACCAACAGAAUAAGCACCGGCUAACUUCGUG
This 484-nucleotide ribosomal RNA is filed under the name uncultured bacterium. RNAcentral describes it as "partial 16S ribosomal RNA". It matches the Rfam family "Bacterial small subunit ribosomal RNA", at positions 30 to 507 of the family's 1533-position model. The record is from RNAcentral.